AGAAAAGUAACCGCCGCCCCGCGCAGGGGCGACGCUAAUAGACCGACACGAUCACGGGUAUUUCACGCCAACGCCAACGCCACCCACAA
Molecule: small RNA, 89 nt
Filed under: Burkholderia vietnamiensis
Lineage: Bacteria; Pseudomonadati; Pseudomonadota; Betaproteobacteria; Burkholderiales; Burkholderiaceae
Description: Bp1_684
Rfam family: Burkholderia sRNA Bp1_Cand684_SIPHT
Source: RNAcentral